Molecule: ribosomal RNA, 696 nt
Filed under: uncultured bacterium
Lineage: Bacteria
Description: bacterial SSU rRNA
Rfam family: Bacterial small subunit ribosomal RNA
Source: RNAcentral
AACGCUAGCUACAGGCUUAACACAUGCAAGUCGAGGGGAAACGAUAUUGGAAGCUUGCUUCCGAUAGGCGUCGACCGGCGCACGGGUGAGUAACGCGUAUCCAACCUGCCCAUCACUUGGGAAUAACCUUGCGAAAGUAAGACUAAUGCCCAAUGACAUUUAUAGAAGGCAUCAGAAAUGAAUUAAAGAUUUAUCGGUGAUGGAUGGGGAUGCGUCUGAUUAGCUUGUUGGCGGGGUAACGGCCCACCAAGGCGACGAUCAGUAGGGGUUCUGAGAGGAAGGUCCCCCACAUUGGAACUGAGACACGGUCCAAACUCCUACGGGAGGCAGCAGUGAGGAAUAUUGGUCAAUGGGCGAGAGCCUGAACCAGCCAAGUAGCGUGCAGGAUGACGGCCCUAUGGGUUGUAAACUGCUUUUAUAGGGGAAUAAAGUGAGCCACGUGUGGUUUUUUGCAUGUACCCUAUGAAUAAGGACCGGCUAAUUCCGUGCCAGCAGCCGCGGUAAUACGGAAGGUCCGGGCGUUAUCCGGAUUUAUUGGGUUUAAAGGGAGCGUAGGCCGGAGAUUAAGCGUGUUGUGAAAUGUAGAUGCUCAACAUCUGCACUGCAGCGCGAACUGGUUUCCUUGAGUACGCAUAAAGUGGGCGGAAUUCGUGGUGUAGCGGUGAAAUGCUUAGAUAUCACGAAGAACUCCGAUUG